AACCGUGUACGUACAAGCAGUGGGAGCCUCUUUUAUGGGGUGACUGCGUACCUUUUGUAUAAUGGGUCAGCGACUUAUAUUCUGUAGCAAGGUUAACCGAAUAGGGGAGCCGAAGGGAAACCGAGUCUUAACUGGGCGUUAAGUUGCAGGGUAUAGACCCGAAACCCGGUGAUCUAGCCAUGGGCAGGUUGAAGGUUGGGUAACACUAACUGGAGGACCGAACCGACUAAUGUUGAAAAAUUAGCGGAUGACUUGUGGCUGGGGGUGAAAGGCCAAUCAAACCGGGAGAUAGCUGGUUCUCCCCGAAAGCUAUUUAGGUAGCGCCUCGUGAAUUCAUCUCCGGGGGUAGAGCACUGUUUCGGCAAGGGGGUCAUCCCGACUUACCAACCCGAUGCAAACUGCGAAUACCGGAGAAUGUUAUCACGGGAGACACACGGCGGGUGCUAACGUCCGUCGUGAAGAGGGAAACAACCCAGACCGCCAGCUAAGGUCCCAAAGUCAUGGUUAAGUGGGAAACGAUGUGGGAAGGCCCAGACAGCCAGGAUGUUGGCUUAGAAGCAGCCAUCAUUUAAAGAAAGCGUAAUAGCUCACUGGUCGAGUCGGCCUGCGCGGAAGAUGUAACGGGGCUAAACCAUG
RNAcentral lists this ribosomal RNA (636 nucleotides) under Escherichia coli. RNAcentral's name for it is "partial 23S ribosomal RNA". It matches the Rfam family "Bacterial large subunit ribosomal RNA", at positions 554 to 1191 of the family's 2925-position model. The record is from RNAcentral. Lineage: Bacteria; Pseudomonadati; Pseudomonadota; Gammaproteobacteria; Enterobacterales; Enterobacteriaceae.